RNAcentral lists this ribosomal RNA (505 nucleotides) under uncultured bacterium. RNAcentral describes it as "partial 16S ribosomal RNA". It matches the Rfam family "Bacterial small subunit ribosomal RNA", at positions 28 to 507 of the family's 1533-position model. The record is from RNAcentral.
GACGAACGCUGGCGGCGUGCCUAAUACAUGCAAGUAGAACGCACAGUUUAUACCGUAGCUUGCUACACCAUAAACUGUGAGUUGCGAACGGGUGAGUAACGCGUAGGUAACCUGCCUGGUAGCGGGGGAUAACUAUUGGAAACGAUAGCUAAUACCGCAUAAUAUUGAUUAUUGCAUGAUAAUUGAUUGAAAGAUGCUAUUGCAUCACUACCAGAUGGACCUGCGUUGUAUUAGCUAGUAGGUGAGGUAACGGCUCACCUAGGCGACGAUACAUAGCCGACCUGAGAGGGUGAUCGGCCACACUAGGACUGAGACACGGCCCAGACUCCUACGGGAGGCAGCAGUAGGGAAUCUUCGGCAAUGGACGAAAGUCUGACCGAGCAACGCCGCGUGAGUGAAGAAGGUUUUCGGAUCGUAAAGCUCUGUUGUAAGAGAAGAACGGGUGUGAGAGUGGAAAGUUCACACUGUGACGGUAUCUUACCAGAAAGGGACGGCUAACUACGUG